GCUGGGGCUCAGUGGUAGAGCACUUGCCUAGCAUGUGUGAGGCACUGGGUUCAAUCCUCAGUACCGCA
This 68-nucleotide transfer RNA is filed under the name Marmota monax (woodchuck). RNAcentral's name for it is "tRNA.Ala". The record is from RNAcentral. Lineage: Eukaryota; Metazoa; Chordata; Mammalia; Rodentia; Sciuridae.